UAUUACCUGCCGUGUGCGUAAGCAGGGGCAGAAGUGCAUCCAACAAAUGCGUCUUGGGAGCUCGAAUCCUGCUACUGCUCAGGUAGCAGGAGGGAAGCACCCACCUGUGUGACAGGGACGCAGCUUUCUGGCCCUUUACGGCACGGCGGGUUUCUU
This 156-nucleotide non-coding RNA is filed under the name Coprothermobacter proteolyticus. RNAcentral's name for it is "6S RNA". It matches the Rfam family "6S / SsrS RNA". Rfam says of the family: E. coli 6S RNA was the first non coding RNA to be sequenced, but its function was unknown until recently. RNAcentral also lists the same sequence under 2 other names. Lineage: Bacteria; Pseudomonadati; Coprothermobacterota; Coprothermobacteria; Coprothermobacterales; Coprothermobacteraceae. The record is from RNAcentral.